RNAcentral lists this long non-coding RNA (1156 nucleotides) under Scleropages formosus (Asian bonytongue). Its description in RNAcentral is "lncRNA (ENSSFOG00015031117.1)". Lineage: Eukaryota; Metazoa; Chordata; Actinopteri; Osteoglossiformes; Osteoglossidae. The record is from RNAcentral.
CCGCUGUCCAGUUUUACUGGGUUACAUGCUCAUACCAGUUAUUAUACCGCAUAACAAUUACGAAACACAACUUCAUAUCAGUGAAAAAAAUAAUAGCUUCUUUUGCAUAUUUAUUUACAUUUAGCUGGCCUCUUUUCUCCAAACUCACUCAUGCAGGUUAGCCUGUGUACAAUGAUUUACCCAUUUGUAUAGCUGGGUGUUUUUCAUUGGAGCCCAUCGGGGUAAAUACCUUGUUCAGGGGCUUUACAGCUGCUGCUGGCAUUCAGAGCCGGGUCCUGCGAGCGUAAGGCACCUGCUCUAACCACUGCGCCCCCUGCAGUCGCCCGUGUCGACAACUAGACAUCUUCGCUGCUCGCCUUCCAGAGGGCUUAGAGGUCAUCGUGAGUCUCACGUGACGCUUACCGCGGUCGAACUGAACGGUUACGCAAGUAACACUUAAAACAAACAAGCGACGUGCCAUAUGUGACACUCCACACGCUCGUUUGUCUUUUAAUCCUCGAGGGAUAAAAACAGCAGCAGCCGGGGCUGUUCUGCACUCGUGCGAAAAAGAGACCUUCCGCGUAGAUCAGCGGCACAAGGAGAUAAUCCUCCCGCCCCUUCGGGUUUGACACGUUUCCGUACGACGAGGCCUGGCUUUCCCGCGGCAAACGGCACGGCCGGCGGCCCUAGGUAUCGGACCCUCAAAAGCCCAAGUCCAUCGAAGAAAACUCCAUCAGGCAGUCCACGGUCUCGGCUCCCUCUGUCCUCGGGCCUGAGUCAAACCCGCACGCCGCUGAGCUGCGGGGCUGUUCUGUCAGCGUGUCGGGCCGCUGGGAAGCUGCGCUCCCUGGCUGUUUCCAUGGCGACGCACAGGAUCAGCGUUCAGAGAGCGGCGAUCCGACCAGGGGACCGAGCGUCUCGCAGUCUCACACUGAACCGGCCCCCCGUUCCCCAGGAGGCGGUGAACGCUCUGCCUAGAAUUGUAGCGGCGGCGGCAGUCUGGGGACACAGCGCCAGGGCGCCGACUCCACGCCAGCACUUCCUGGCUCCGGGACACACGUUUUACAAGCCUUCAAUUAAGUGGCGACAAAACUGUUUUCAUCACUGCGCUAAUGUGGCACAAAAAAACAACACCCAGUAAGAAUAGCAAACGGGAAUAAAGAGAUUAUUUUGCACA